RNAcentral lists this ribosomal RNA (138 nucleotides) under Pseudomonas aeruginosa. RNAcentral's name for it is "partial 23S ribosomal RNA". It matches the Rfam family "Bacterial large subunit ribosomal RNA", at positions 1 to 134 of the family's 2925-position model. The record is from RNAcentral. Lineage: Bacteria; Pseudomonadati; Pseudomonadota; Gammaproteobacteria; Pseudomonadales; Pseudomonadaceae.
UAUAGUCAAGUAAUUAAGUGCAUGUGGUCGAUGCCUUGGCAGUCAGAGGCGAUGAAAGACGUGAUAGCCUGCGAUAAGCUUCGGGGAGCUGGCAAAUAAGCUUUGAUCCGGAGAUUUCUGAAUGGGGAAACCCACCUA